This 487-nucleotide long non-coding RNA is filed under the name Arabidopsis lyrata. RNAcentral's name for it is "long non-coding RNA (ALYR_LNC002100)". The record is from RNAcentral. Lineage: Eukaryota; Viridiplantae; Streptophyta; Magnoliopsida; Brassicales; Brassicaceae.
AAAGAAAUAUCUUAUAGAAUUCAUAUAAAGAGAAGCUUACCGAAAUGAUGAUACAUACAAAUCCAGAGAAGUAUACAUCAAAUGUUAUAGUUUUUUUUAUUUCUUAUAAGAAAUUCAGAAACGGACAUACACAAGUGACAGAAAAUUAUGAGACCAAAAAGUUCAAUCAAAUAGAAAGAUCCAUUAUCUCUUUGAAGACGCUUUCUCAUCACUCUUUCUUUGUCUCUCCAUCCUUGUGUUUUCCCUUCUUUGGCUUAACGAAACAGAAGCAUGAACAACAAGGCAGCUGAAACAAAAACUUCAUCUUGAUUUGGAAUUGGAUCAACAGUAUACUACUUUGAUAUCUGCCUUUUAUAUUUGAUAUUAUGCUUUUGUAAUUCCAAUUUCAGAAUUAUUUUUGGGUUUCCUUUAUUCGUUUCUUCUUUUUGGAUGCUUUUCCAACCAAGUUGAUUCUCCCUUGAUAAGAAGAUGCCUCAUACCACUUAUU